UUGACCUCUGAUCAGGUAGUAAUACCCGGCUGAACUCAAGCAUAUAAACGGGGGAAAAUUUACCGAGUUACAACUCCAAACCCAAAUGUGGACGUACAACUGUUGUCCUCGGAGAGUA
Molecule: ribosomal RNA, 118 nt
Filed under: Trichoderma harzianum
Lineage: Eukaryota; Fungi; Ascomycota; Sordariomycetes; Hypocreales; Hypocreaceae
Description: partial 28S ribosomal RNA
Source: RNAcentral